This 2503-nucleotide long non-coding RNA is filed under the name Homo sapiens (human). RNAcentral's name for it is "HSALNT0284384". Lineage: Eukaryota; Metazoa; Chordata; Mammalia; Primates; Hominidae. The record is from RNAcentral.
CUCUCUUUUUUUCUUUAUGAUAGACCACUAGCAGUUUCUCUUAACGUAAAAACUUUCUUACUGUAUUUUAUGACAUAUUUUACUGUGCAUACAUAGGAACUAGAUAAGACCCACUAAAGAGAUUAUCUCUGUAACUUUUACUACUGUUGACUGAGAACACUUUAUUCCAUUUUAAAUCAUUUGAGAAAACUGCAAACAUUUUCUGAGACUUAGGCCUGGCCUUACCCCUGAUCUUUAAAACUGAUAGACAACAACCACAAAAGUUUCAGUAGAAGCCAUUUAAAAGGAAAAAAAGCCUCUCAUUAUCUUGAAACAGAAGGUGUAUUAGUCUGUUCUCACACUGCUAUAAAGAACUGCCCCAGACUGGGUAAUUUAUAAAGGAAAGAAGUUCAAUGGACUCACAGUUUCACCUGGCUGGGGAGGCUUCAGGAAACUUACAGUCAUAGUGGAAGGGGAAGCAAACACAUCCUUCUUCACAACGUGGCUGGAGAAAGAAGUGCCAAGCAAAAGGGGGAAAAGCCCCUUAUAAAACUGUCAGACCUUGUGAGAGUUCACUCACUGUCAUGAGAACAGCAUGAGAGUAACCAUCCCUAUGAUUAAAUUACCUCCCACUGGGUCCCUCCCAUGACACAUGGGGAUUAUGGGCACUACAAUCAAGGUGAGAUUUGGGUGGGGACACAGAGCCAAACCAUAUCAUUCUGCCUUGAGCAACUACACCCCUGUGGCUUUGCAGGGUACAGCUUCCCUCCUGGCUGUCUUCACAGCCUGGCAUUGAGUGUCUGUGGCUUGUUGUCAGUGGUGCAUGGUGCAAGUUGUGGUGCAUGGUGCAAAAGGGGGAAAAGCCCUUUAUAAAACUGUCAGACCUUGUGAGAACUCACUCACUGUCAUGAGAACAGCAUGAGAGUAACCAUCCCCAUGAUUAAAUUACCUCCCACUGGGUCCCUCCCAUGACACAUGGGGAUUAUGGGCACUACAAUCAAGGUGAGAUUUGGGUGGGGACACAGAGUCAAACCAUAUCAUUCUGCCUUAAGCAACUACACCCCUGUGGCUUUGCAGGGCACAGCUUCCCUCCUGGCUGCCUUCACAGCCUGGCAUUGAGUGUCUGUGAGUGUCUGUGGUGCAUGGUGCAAGUUGUCAGUGGAUCUACUAUUCAGGGGUCUGGAGGAUGGUAGCCCUCUUCUCACAGCCCCACUAGGCAGUGCCCCGUGGGGACUCUGUGUGGGGGCUCUCACCCCACAUUUUCAUUCCACUCUGCCCUAGCAGAGGUUCUCCAUGAGAACUCCACCCCUACAGCACUCCUCUGCCUGGAUAUCCAGGUGUUUCCAUACCUCCUCUGAAAUCUAGAGGUUUCCAAACUUUAAUUCUUGAUGUCCCUAAAAACUAAAUUGAUUAUUUAAAAAGACAAGAUAUAGUUAUCUAUAUGAUUUAGCUAAUACAGUUGCACUAGUUAUUUUUCCCAGAUUCCCACUGAAUGAGUCUUUAAUGCGUUGGAAUAAAAUUAUAUUCAACACAAAAUCUACCUUUCAAAAUCAAGUAAGAAAACAUACAAAACUAUUCAAGUGACCAAAGUUAAGAUAAAUGCAGGAAUGAAUAAUUAAAAUCAAGAUUUUAUCACAAUGUUUUAGAGUUAAUCCAUAUUCACAGAAAUGUGACACUAGUGAUACAUCACAAGCAUAUCAUGAGAGCUGAGACUUUCUUCAAAUAAUAAUGACUAACACUGUAUUUUUACUAUGUAUCAGUUCACCAGAGAAGCAAUGUAAUGAAUUACUUUGCUUAAUGAAGAUGAAAUUAUUUUUCACAUUUUGCCAAUGAGGAAACUGAGAAACGGUUGGUACGGACAAAGGGCAGUACUCUCGUCCAUGUCUACCUUCAGUUCAAGCUUUUGUUCUUAACUACUUUGCUCUAAUACAUACUGCAUUAAUGCUGAAACAGGAAUUCACCAGAACUACUUUACUGAAUAGUUGGUUGAAUCUAUGAGUGUGGAACCCAAGGUUAUGGAGGACUGGCUGUGGAUACCUGAAGAGAUGGUCCUUAUUGUUGCAUCCUCUGGAUCGGGGAGAACGCUGUGUCCUCACAUGGCUGAAGGCAGAGGGGCAAGCACACCUAAUGCUGCGUGAAGCCUCUUUUAUAAGGGCCUUAAUCUCUUUGGCCAGACCUGCAUUGAGCUGCGGUGCUGAUGUUUCUCCUAGUAGCAUGGCUUUCGGUAUAAAAAUAUGCAAAAAAGUGACGUGAGGAAUAUUUGAACCAAGGUUUUAACCUUCAAAAUAUCAGGAAUGGGAAAGGAGGCAGCUAAGAAGAUGGAGAAGGAUAUACUGGGGAAACAAGUCAUAAGGAUUUGCCUUUCAGUUAAAAAACUUUCCCUGAAGCAGCUAUUAGAGAAAAGCAACUUAUUAUAAUUCUGAAAAUUUUUCCUUCUUGAUGUUCUAUCUCUAUGCAGAUGUCAUCUCCUCUUCCAUUCAGUAGACAAAAAAUAAAAAAUGGAUACUGUGUUAUUGGUGCUCUG